This is a regulatory RNA element of Sodalis praecaptivus, 48 nucleotides long. It matches the Rfam family "Guanidine-II riboswitch aptamer (mini-ykkC)". Rfam says of the family: Simpler in structure and has fewer highly conserved nucleotide positions than the ykkC-yxkD leader. Despite this each of its two stem-loop structures directly bind free guanidine. Therefore, mini-ykkC RNA motif represents a distinct class of guanidine-sensing RNAs. The record is from Rfam. NCBI's taxonomy places the organism in Bacteria, Pseudomonadati, Pseudomonadota, Gammaproteobacteria, Enterobacterales, Bruguierivoracaceae.
CGCUCAGGACGACCUGAGCCUCCUGCCUUACCCCACGGGACGACCCGA